RNAcentral lists this transfer RNA (61 nucleotides) under Uenoa lobata. RNAcentral describes it as "tRNA-Ser". The record is from RNAcentral. Lineage: Eukaryota; Metazoa; Arthropoda; Insecta; Trichoptera; Uenoidae.
GAAAUAAAUUCAAAGCUUAAGCCGCUAACUUAAGUUUUAGUGUUAAAUCAUUAUUAUUUCU